CCUGGGAACUGCGUUNUGAACUGGGUGACUAGAGUGUGUCAGAGGGAGGUAGAAUUCCACGUGUAGCAGUGAAAUGCGUAGAGAUGUGGAGGAAUACCGAUGGCGAAGGCAGCCUCCUGGGAUAACACUGACGUUCAUGCUNGAAAGCGUGGGUAGCAAACAGGAUUAGAUACCCUGGUAGUCCACGCCCUAAACGAUGUCAAUCAGCUGUUGGGCAACUUGAUUGCUUAGUAGCGUAGCUAACGCGUGAAAUUGACCGCCUGGGGAGUACGGUCGCAAGAUUAAAACUCAAAGGAAUUGACGGGGACCCGCACAAGCGGUGGAUGAUGUGGAUUAAUUCGAUGCAACGCGAAGAACCUUACCUGGUCUUGGCAUGUACGGAAUCCUCCAGAGACGGAGGAGAGCCUUCGGGAGCCGUAACACAGGUGCUGCAUGGCUGUCGUCAGCUCGUGUCGUGAGAUGUUGGGUUAAGUCCCGCAACGAGCGCAACCCUUGUCAUUAGUUGCCAUCAUUUAGUUGGGCACUCUAAUGAGACUGCCGGUGACAAGCCGGAGGAAGGUGGGGAUGACGUCAAGUCCUCAUGGCCCUUAUGACCAGGGCUUCGCACGUCAUACAAUGGUCGGUACAGAGGGUAGCCAAGCCGCGAGGUGGAGCCAAUCUCACAAAACCGAUCGUAGUCCGGAUUGCACUCUGCAACUCGAGUGCAUGAAGUCGGAAUCGCUAGUAAUCGCAGGUCAGCAUACUGCGGUGAAUACGUUCCCGGG
Molecule: ribosomal RNA, 764 nt
Filed under: uncultured bacterium
Lineage: Bacteria
Description: bacterial SSU rRNA
Rfam family: Bacterial small subunit ribosomal RNA
Source: RNAcentral